AACGAACGCUGGCGGCAUGCCUAACACAUGCGAGUCGAACGAGACCUUCGGGUCUAGUGGCGCACGGGUGCGUAACGCGUGGGAACCUGCCCUUAGGUUCGGAAUAACUCCCCGAAAGGGGUGCUAAUACCGGAUAAUGUCUUCGGACCAAAGAUUUAUCGCCUUUGGAUGGGCCCGCGUUGGAUUAGCUAGUUGGUAGGGUAAAAGCCUACCAAGGCGACGAUCCAUAGCUGGUCUGAGAGGAUGAUCAGCCACACUGGGACUGAGACACGGCCCAGACUCCUACGGGAGGCAGCAGUGGGGAAUAUUGGACAAUGGGCGAAAGCCUGAUCCAGCAAUGCCGCGUGAGUGAUGAAGGCCUUAGGGUUGUAAAGCUCUUUUACCCGGGAUGAUAAUGACAGUACCGGGAGAAUAAGCUCCGGCCAACUCCGUG
This 433-nucleotide ribosomal RNA is filed under the name uncultured bacterium. Its description in RNAcentral is "partial 16S ribosomal RNA". It matches the Rfam family "Bacterial small subunit ribosomal RNA", at positions 29 to 507 of the family's 1533-position model. The record is from RNAcentral.